RNAcentral lists this ribosomal RNA (730 nucleotides) under uncultured bacterium. RNAcentral describes it as "bacterial SSU rRNA". It matches the Rfam family "Bacterial small subunit ribosomal RNA", at positions 771 to 1501 of the family's 1533-position model. The record is from RNAcentral.
AACAGGAUUAGAUACCCUGGUAGUCCACGCCGUAAACGAUGAGUGCUAGGUGUUGGGGGGCUACGCCCCUCAGUGCCGAAGGUAACCCAUUAAGCACUCCGCCUGGGGAGUACGGCCGCAAGGCUGAAACUCAAAGGAAUUGACGGGGGCCCGCACAAGCGGUGGAGCAUGUGGUUUAAUUCGAAGCAACGCGAAGAACCUUACCAGGGCUUGACAUCCCGCUGACCCCUCCAGAGAUGGAGGUUUCCUUCGGGACAGCGGUGACAGGUGGUGCAUGGUUGUCGUCAGCUCGUGUCGUGAGAUGUUGGGUUCAGUCCCGCAACGAGCGCAACCCUUGUCGUUAGUUGCCAGCAUUUCGGAUGGGCACUCUAACGAGACAGCCGGUGAAAGCCGGAGGAAGGUGGGGAUGACGUCAAAUCAUCAUGCCCCUUAUGUCCUGGGCUACACACGUGCUACAAUGGCUGGUACAAAGGGCAGCGAACCCGCGAGGGGGAGCCAAUCCCAAAAAGCCAGUCUCAGUUCGGAUCGCAGGCUGCAACUCGCCUGCGUGAAGCCGGAAUCGCUAGUAAUCGCGGAUCAGCAUGCCGCGGUGAAUAUGUUCCCGGGCCUUGUACACACCGCCCGUCACACCACGAGAGUUUGCAACACCCGAAGUCGGUGAGGCAACCUUUUAGGAGCCAGCCGCCGAAGAUGGGGCAGAUGAUUGGGGUGAAGUCGUAACAAGGUAACC